AUAUUAUUCAUAUACUGUAAUAAUAUCUCUUUCACUUCACGUGUCAUUCAUUUUCAAUCCGGAUAUAAUUGCACUGGCUGCUGAAACAGAAAGUCAGCUGAUUAGCAUAAAAACAAUCGAUAUUCAAUCUGUCAAUAGGAAUUUUCCUUUAUUUACAACAUUAACAUGUUUUUGGUAUUUCUUCGUGUAAAUAUACUUCAGUCG
RNAcentral lists this long non-coding RNA (204 nucleotides) under Mytilus galloprovincialis (Mediterranean mussel). Lineage: Eukaryota; Metazoa; Mollusca; Bivalvia; Mytilida; Mytilidae. The record is from RNAcentral.